Molecule: ribosomal RNA, 251 nt
Filed under: uncultured bacterium
Lineage: Bacteria
Description: partial 16S ribosomal RNA
Rfam family: Bacterial small subunit ribosomal RNA
Source: RNAcentral
ACGGAGGGAGCUAGCGUUGUUCGGAAAUACUGGGCGUAAAGCGCACGUAGGCGGCACUGCAAGUCAGGGGUGAAAUCUCCGGGCUCAACCCGGAAACUGCCAUUGAUACUAUUUAUCUUGAAUUCUGUUGAGGUAGGCGGAAUAUAUCAUGUAGCGGUGAAAUGCUUAGAUAUGAUAUAGAACACCGAUUGCGAAGGCAGCUUACUAAGCAGACAUUGACGCUGAGGCACGAAAGCGUGGGGAUCAAACAG